This 248-nucleotide ribosomal RNA is filed under the name uncultured bacterium. RNAcentral's name for it is "partial 16S ribosomal RNA". It matches the Rfam family "Bacterial small subunit ribosomal RNA", at positions 333 to 578 of the family's 1533-position model. The record is from RNAcentral.
UGCUUCCUACGGGGGGCAGCAGUGAGGAAUAUUGGUCAAUGGGCGGGAGCCUGAACCAGCCAAGCCGCGUGAGGGAAGAAGGUACAGCGUAUCGUAAACCUCUUUUGUCAGGGAACAAAGGCGGGGAAUAGUCCCCGGAUGAGGGUACCUGAAGAAAAAGCAUCGGCUAACUCAGUGACAGCAGCCGAGGUAAUACGGAGGAUGCGAGCGUUAUCCGGAUUUAUUGGGUUUAAAGGGUGCGCAGGCGG